UACAGAGGGUGCGAGCGUUAACCGGAAUUACUGGGCGUAAAGCGCGCGUAGGUGGCGACGUAAGUCGGGUGUGAAAGCCCCGGGCUCAACCUGGGAAUUGCAUUCGAGACUGCAUUGCUGGAGUACGGAAGAGGAGGGCGGAAUUCCCGGUGUAGCGGUGAAAUGCGUAGAUAUCGGGAGGAACAUCAGUGGCGAAGGCGGCCCUCUGGUCCAGUACUGACACUCAAGUGCGAAAGCGUGGGGAGCAAACAGG
This 253-nucleotide ribosomal RNA is filed under the name uncultured bacterium. Its description in RNAcentral is "partial 16S ribosomal RNA". It matches the Rfam family "Bacterial small subunit ribosomal RNA", at positions 524 to 776 of the family's 1533-position model. The record is from RNAcentral.